Molecule: long non-coding RNA, 1213 nt
Organism: Lagenorhynchus albirostris (white-beaked dolphin)
Lineage: Eukaryota; Metazoa; Chordata; Mammalia; Artiodactyla; Delphinidae
Exons: 3
Source: RefSeq, a predicted model, not a curated record
CUACAUCAUUGGGUUUUCAGAUAGUAGCAUUAUAGUUCAGCAGUUCAGAUCAUGAACAAAGAAGCUGAAUAACUUUGGAUCCUAGUUCCAGCUGUAAAAUGUUACACUCAAUGAUUACUCUUUCUUGUAUCUCAUAUGAAUAUAUGAGUGUUUUUCCCGUAAGCUAUGUGGGAAGUGAAUCUCAGCUUCUGCUUCUACCUUCACCACCAUGGCCAUUGUGAGGACCCGCUGUGUUCUACAGUAGAGACAGAAAUUCACACAUCGUCAAGGAGGACAGAGCUGCUUUUGACCGUGGAAAUAAAAUAACAAGGUUAAGUCACCACAAACAGGGGUAAGAGUGACUGAGAAGAGAAAAAUUGUGAGAAGUCUUAUCUAACGAUCUGUUUUCAGUAGAAGUGACAUUUAUUUGCAGAACAUGAGACGGAGGAAGUAUAGGAAUUUAAUCCUGGAAAAGAUGGGCAUUGCGGGCUGGACGGAUGCUGAGGUCCAGGGGCUUGUGAACUGAGCCCUGGGGUGGAGAUGUGCCGGCACCACGGUAGGAAAAGUGUGGGCAGAGGGAGGUGCCGAGCUGUGGCCCAGUCACAAGAAAGGCCCCAGCCACCCACAGGGCUCUGAGCUGGAUGCUUGCGGGUUAGAGCAUCCGGACAGGAGUGAGGGCCCAGGCCUUUAUCCAUCCUCUGACCUGUCACCGAGGUAGGCUGCGUCUGGGACGUGGUGUGACCCCACUGUGGCAGUCUUCUUCGCUAGAGGAUAAUCACCUGUUUGGGAACACAGCCCCAAGCUCCCAGCUGCCUACACUCCAGUUUGGAGAUGCGGUGCGUGCUUAGUCCCGGAGGGGGUGGGAAAGAUCUGGGGGCACACAUGGGAGCACAGCACAAGAACACAGCCCUCCUGAAAUCCAAGUGGAUCUGCAGACACAGGGGAGGACCUGCCUCAGGAGCGCUGUGCACGCGAACCCACUGGAAAGGACCCUAUUUGCCGUGUAUCUAUCAGCUUCCGCCCUGUUUGAGUCCUAGACUUCUCCUAAGGGUGACCUAUAACAAAAGCAAAAUUUUACUUUCAACACUUGUUUACAAAGUGCUGGCACCUGAAUUUGCUAGUUUGUUGUAAAUUAAUUUACCUGUGGCAAGGAGGGAAAGAUUUGAAUAGAAAAAUCACACAUGAGAAUCUUUUUUAAUAGAGGAAUGUGCCAAGAGGAAAACUGGAGCUGGGA